AACAGGCUUCACCUCCUUCUCCAUUGUUAACCAACCCCCAAAACUCCAUUAAAGCCACCAUUAGCCACCGUUGAAAACCAAGGAAACAGAUCUGAAAUUGUCACCUAAAAUAGUCCCUAAAGCCACGAAAAUCAGUCCAAAAAGACAGCCAUGAAAUCCUAGCUCAAAACCAUCCAAAAACACCUGAGAAUAUAUCCAAAACCAACCUUGUUUCCACACCAAAAUCCUAGCAAAACCAGCUGAAAAAUAGCCUCUCAAACCCUUAAAACAACUGCAAAAAUCAGCCACCAAACAACCUUAAAAAACAGCAAAAUUCCAACGUCAACCCUACCUCCGGAUACCGAUAGAGUAUAAUGAUAUAGGCUUCCAACGAGUUUGAGUCAAGUGGGGUCGCAACAGUCGAGUUCGUCGGUUCGAGGUUCUGAUGAAUAGCUAACUUUGUUAUUUCUUUCGGAGUCUCAUUUUCACUGUAUGCAACAGAGAGAGUAAGUUCAAUAAUAAAGGUCUAAUUUUGUCUCCCUUUUCUCAUUCAUUUAGGAUGCUUAUGAAUAUCUGAUUUUAUCUCAAGUUGUUUUUUUGAAUUUGUAAUUGUUUGGCAUCAUUUGAUUGAUUGAGAUUAUUUGUUGUUAACUUCUUGUUGGUCUUUAAUUUAUUGUCAAGUGUGCUGUAAGUUAAAUUUUGAAAGAAGAAUCCAUAUGCUUCUUGAUUGAAGUUUAAUAUCUGAAGAUAGAAGAUAUCAAAUGGGUCAUGUGCUUUUGAUUAUAUUUUCAGAAAAAAGUGAAAGUUUGUGUUGGGCAGGGGAAUUUGAUUUUCCUUUAAGGAUAAUGGGUCAUAUUUGAAAAUGAAUUUUUUAUGUUUAAUUUAGUCAAGAUAUAGCUGCCCUGUUUCCAUUAAAUUUCCUCGUCCAUUUCGUAAACUAGUUGGUCCAAUUCUUGUAAAUACAUAAGGGAUCCUUUUCUUUAAUUACUAUGUAAGUGUAUCAAUGAAAUUCAUAACAUCUUCUCUACAAUUUUACUCCCAUAACUCUUGGCCUUACAAUAAUCUUAAGUUAGCUUCAGGAAAAUAAUUCAAGAAAAUGCGUAGUUGCUUUAGGCGCGCUAUCUUAAAAUUAACUUCCUAAACUCGGGUGCGCAUUUAUGUGACCCAUAUCCAAAUCUCAACAAUGUUAGAUAAAAUAUGUCGAAGACCGCGGGUGCAUUUAUGUGACGUUGUUCAAGACAUAUUUUAAAUGACAUUGUAAUCUUCCUUAAAGAUGAUUAAAAGCGGCUAAUGAUUUAAGAUUGCAUCAUAGGCUAAAACAUGUACUAAAAUCAGAUAAUAGGCCAAUUAUAAUAGUUGAGCGACCGUGCUAGAACCACGGAAUCCGGAAAUGCCUAACACCUUCUCCCGGGUUAACAGAAUUCCUUACCCGGAUUUCUGUGUUCACGGACUAUAAUAUAGAGUCAAUAUUUUCCUCGAUUCGGGAUUUGAACCGGUGACUUGGGUACCAUAAAAUUAUCCCAAGUGACGACUCUGAAUUUAAUAAAUAAAUAAUCUCAUUUCGAUUGUCACAUAAAGUUGGAAAAACUCCCUUAUACCCCUUUCGGAGGGUGUAGGAAAAAGGAGGUGUAACAAUGUGUAUUUAAGAAAGUCAUGAAACGACUUUCCAAUCAACUUUACGAAAAUUCUUUUUGAGAUCUGUUGCAUCUCAUUCGUGUAUACAAUAUAGUUCCAAAAAAUACUAGCUCUUAGGAGUUAUAUGGCAUCUGUAGGCAUACACAGUUUCAUUUCUCCAAAGCUCUUGAUGAUAUCUUUUCUUCCCCAUCCCAAAUAAGUUGACUUGAUAAUAGUUCUACACCUAAGCUCUGGCUCAUACGGAUUUUUCAUACUUCGAUCCACCGUUACAUGUUUCGUCACGAUUGCGUAUGUUGAAAGAUUGUCAAGAGAAUCGGCUCAGGUAUGUUAAGGCUAUCCCUUCAUUCUUUUGUCAUGAUUUAUACUUCACAAAUAAAACAAGCAAAUGCACAAUUUCCAUAAAUGACUCUAUUCAUAGAAAUACUAGAGAUGCUUAUGUUCUUGAUUUCCUAUGUGUCAUAUUAUUCUAUCAUCUAUUCAUGGGUCUCAGAAAAAUACAUAAGUUGAAAAAACGUUUACUUCAUGACAUUACUCAAAGGCAUAAUGGUCUUAUGAUAUUCCAAGAUAUUUAUUGACGUACUUCUCAUGCAUUGCAUUUAUGUACAUUGACCCAUGACCAGACAGCGUUAUAUACGCAUAUAUAUGUAUAUAGACGUAUAUGGGAUAUAGGAAAAGGUUAUGGCAUUAUAUACGCACCACCACCUGAUCAGCUGGUAUACAAUGAUGAUGUUGUCCACAGUGGCUGAAAUAUGACUCAGACGACGUUAUAUACGCGUAUAUAUGUAUAUAUAUAUAUAUAUAUGUAUAUGAGAUAUGGGAAAAGGUUACGGGGUUAUAUACGCACCACCACCUGAUCAGUUGGUAUACGUUGAUGAUGUUGCCCACAGUGGCCGAGAUGAUAUGAUGGGAUUCCCUCAGAGGCUUGAUGAUGUUAUUUACGUACAUACCUAUGAAUCACAUGAUAUUCAUACGCAUAUGCAUGACAUUAUAAAUAUUUCAUGAUUUACAGAGCUAUCCACACUUACAGGAUGAAUUGUCUACUCCAUGUUUCUUCCAUGUCCUUAAUUAAUGUUGACUUAUUGUUAUGUUUCAGCUCCGCCUUACAUACUCGGUACAUUAUUCGUACUGAUGUCCUUUUGUUGGGGACGUUGCAUUCAUGCCUGCAGGUAUAGACAAUCAGUUUGACGAGCCCUCACAGUAGACGAGAUUUGCAUUCAACGAAGGAUCGGUAAGACUCCACUACAUUCAGAGUGGAGCCGAGUCUAUGAGUCAUCGUGUCAGAAUUUUUUUUACAGGCUUAUGGGUAGGCCGGUACCCUGUCCCAUUUGAUGUUGAAUGAUCUUAGAGGCUUUGUAGACAGAGGUUCAGUUUGUACAAUAUGUCAGAGGCCUUGACGACCCAUAUGUAUUCAUGUUUUAAAAAAAAUAGUUCAGUAAUAUAGUGUUGCCUACCUAUAGUUAUCCAUUACGAGUUGUGGCCAUGUUAGCCCAUGGUAGUUACAAAACAAAAGAAAAAAAGGAAGUUGCAGAGUGAUUCACUCGGGCCAGUGCGGCACCGGGUGCCAGCCGCGCCUCCCCAAGUUUGGGGCGUGACAGCUAACCAGACGGACUAGAGUGUCCUGAAGUAUGGGAGUGGCUAUAAACCUCUACGGGACCUGAGCUGGUCUAACUUGUGUAGUUUGAGUAGAAGGGUCCUCCUCCUGCUCGAUUUGAGGAUCUGUAAUAGGUGUUACUCCGCGCGCUCUAGGUUGAGCUCUGCCUCGGCUCUUAACUCGGCCCCAGCCUCUACCCUUGGUGAUGGCUGCAGCCUGGGGUCCAUUGUGGAUGUUGUGCGUGUCCUCAUCAUCUUUAAGAGAACAAGAAUAGAAUAAUUUAAACUCAAUGAUAGAAUAAAAUCGCACGACAGAGAAGGAAAGAAGUGAAAUUUUCCUAAAUCCCUAUAGUUUCUAGAAGAUAAGUACAAACGUCUCCAUACCGAUCCUCCAUACCCUACUAAACUUGUGAGACCUAGAUAACCUGGUGCUCUAAUACCAACUUGUCACGACCCGAAAUCCCAACCGCAAGUCCGUGAUGGCACCUAACGUCCACUUACUUGGCAAGCCAACUUAGUACAUAACAAAUCAUUUUUAAACUAAUUCAAAAGCAAUUUAAUAAGAAAUAAAGCUGUAAAAAUUCAAAAUAGAUAUAAUACCUUCAAACGCUGACUAAUCAAAUUUCAAAAUCUGGUGUCACAAGUACAUGAGCAUAGUAGAAGUGCUACAACCAAUGUCUGAAUGAAAAUACAAUUAUUUGAAACAAAAUAAACUGUAAAACUAGAUUAAAAAAAGGGGACUUCAGGGACUACAAUCGCCAUGCAGCUCUACCUAGAGUCUCCAUGAAAAGCUUAUCCGACUGAGUCUCCUCUAACUGAUGCUGGGACCAACACCAGAAUUUGCAUAAGAAGUACAGAAGUGUAGUAUGAGUACAACCGACCCCAUAUACUCCAUAAGUACCGAGUGUGACGAUCUGGUCAGUUGUCUCAUGAGUUACCGCUCCAUUUUCUCUAUUUCUUCUUCUUUAUGCUUUGUUUAUCCGUGUUAUGUGGUAUCGGGUGGGUCAGAUCGAAUCCGGAAUGAUUUUGGUAAGAUUUGAGACACUUAGUCUCUUUUGAGGAAGCUUAAGUUGGAAAAGUCAACUGGAUGUUGACUUAUAUGUUAGAGGGCUCAGAUGUGAGUUCUGAUGGUUUGGAUAGCUUCGGGAGAUGAUUUGGGACUUAGAAGCGCGAUCGGGAUAAGUUUUGAAGGUUCAGAGUAGAUUUAGGCUUGAAUUGGCGAAGUUGAUAUUUUGGCGAUUUCCGGUUGGUAGGCGAGAUUUUGAUAUAGGGGUCGGAAUGGAUUUUCGAGAGUUGCAAAAGCUCCAUUGUGUCAUUUGGGAUGUGUGUGCAAAAUUUUAGGUCAUUCAGACGUGGUUUGGUUGGGUUUUUGAUCGAAAACAUAAUUUAAGAGUUUUUGGAGUUCUUAGGCUUGAAUCCUAUGUUAAAUUGGUGUUUUGAUGUUGUUGUUAGCAUUCCAAAGAUUUAAACAAGUUUGAAUGAUGUCAUGGGAUGUGUUGGUACAUUUGGUUUGAAGCCCCGGGGGCUCGGGUGAGUUUCGGGUAGGUUCUGGGAUGUUUUAGGCCAAAAACAUAGUUGUUGCAGGUUCAGAGAGGUUGCAAACACUAGUGCGGUCCACAAAGGAUUUUGUGCGGCCGCGGUGGGGGCUUUGCAGCCACACUCAAUUUUGUCCGGUCCGCGGUGAGAAAGGUUUCACUGGUCUGACUUCGGAAGCUUAUAUCUUUUGAUCUAGAAGGAAUUUGAUGAUCAUUCAAAAACAAAAAUUGUAGAGCUUUGAAUCUAGUUUUGAGAAACAUAUUAUAAUAGCCAUUUGGAAAUCUGUAGCGAAGGUUAUGGCCGAAAUACCAAAGCCGGUCACUGCAGUCAAAUCCACCGCGGUCAGCACUGGUUUUUGUGCGGUCAGCGGUGCUCCACCGCGGUCCACACUUGAUUUUGUGCGGUCAGUAGUGGUAGAAAUCCGGGAGGUGCUCUAUAAAUACGAGGUUUAGGGUUUUAUUUUAUAUUUUGACCUAGAGAGCUCGAAUUUUGGCGAUUUUUCGAAGGUUUUUGAAGAAAUUCAUCGGGGUAAGUGAUUCUAAUUCAGAUUUGGCUAGAGUACAUGAAUCUAUCAUUGAAUUCAUCAUUUGAUUCAUUAUUUGGGAUGAAAUUUGGGAAGAAAAUCUGUGAAACCUUUCAAAAAUGUAAAAUGAUGAUUUGAAGGACCAAAUGGUAUCGGAAUUGGAUAUUUUUGAGUGGGCUUUGUUCCCUUAAUAUAUUUUGAUGGUUUUGUACUGAUUUAGGUUAGAUUUGGAGCAUCCGGAGGCCGAUUAGAGAGGCAAGGGCAUCACAGGAUAGAGUUCGAACUGCAUAGAGGUAAGUAAUGAUUGUAAAUGUUGUCCCGAGGGUAUGAAACCUUGAAUUUCAUAUCGUUGUGCUACUUUGAGGUGACACACACGCUAGAUGACGAGCGUGGGGUGUGCACCAUUGGGUAUUUUGACUUAGUCCGUCCAGUAUGACUUUUAAAUCGCGUAUUUGAUUGAAAACUAUUUGAUAUCAUUGUGUUUUGGAAAGUAUUAUCAUGUUUUGGACUGAAUGCCAUAUUUGGGCCUUGUGCCAACUGUUUUGGACCCUUAGGGGAUUUUUACUACUAUUCCUCACUGUUUUGACUUCAUAUUUGUACUCAGUCAUGUUGUAUUCUACUGUUUUCAUAACUCAGCCAUAUUUACUCCGUUUUGAUAUUUUAAAUGAUAUUUUGGGUUGAGCAUCAUGUUUUACUAUUGCCCGAGUGGCAUGAGAGAUUUCUGAUAGAGUGAGGCCGAGGGCUUGUGUUGUGAGGAUAUUAUGGGAUCGGGCUGCGCGCCGUAGCAAUGUUAUAUUAAUUCAUGAUUUUGAGGCCGAGGGCCUGAUUUGUUACGCCACGAGGUGGCUUGUUGAUAUGAGGCCGAGAGCCUAUUUGAUUAUGCCACAAGAAGGCUUGUUAUUGCGCUUGGGCCGUAAGGGGCCCCUCCAGGAAUCUGUACACCCCCAGUGAGCGCGGGUACCCAGUGAGAGUGAUAUGAUGUAGCCCGAUGGAUUGUUGUUGUUUCAUGUUAUUACCCGAGGGGCGGUUCUUUAUUCAUGUUAUGCCCGAGCAGCUGAUUACGAGUGAUUGUGAGGUAGUCCAAAAGGUUGGUUCUGUUCAUAUUAUGCCCGAGGGGCGGUUUAUGAUACAUGUUUUGCCCGAGGGAUUGUUUAUGUUUCUACCCUUUUCUCACUAUUUUCAUCACUCGUUUGAAACUAUUGAAAGAUGUUUUAAAAGGAAAUAGUUUUAUUGAAACUGAGUUAUUUUACGAGAAAAUGGUUUCUGUACUGUUUUUGAGAAAUAUACAGUAUUUGUUGUAGUGCUAUGAUGGAAAAUUAUGUGUUUUCUUUCUGCUCAGCUUUCAUUUACUUUUAUUACUUUUUGAGUUGGCGUACUCACAUUACUCCCUGCACCAUGUGUGCAGAUCCAGCAGUUGCGGGUCACGAUAGUGAGCAUUUAUUGUCCAUUCAGCAGGAUUUCGGAGUCGACAAGGCAGCUGCAUGGCGUUCGCAGCCCUGUUCUUCUCCC
Molecule: long non-coding RNA, 6772 nt
Filed under: Nicotiana tabacum (common tobacco)
Lineage: Eukaryota; Viridiplantae; Streptophyta; Magnoliopsida; Solanales; Solanaceae
Description: long non-coding RNA (NTAB_LNC000409)
Source: RNAcentral